Molecule: long non-coding RNA, 1671 nt
Organism: Stegostoma tigrinum
Lineage: Eukaryota; Metazoa; Chordata; Chondrichthyes; Orectolobiformes; Stegostomatidae
Exons: 4
Source: RefSeq, a predicted model, not a curated record
GAACAGUGCAGGUUCGCCGAGAUAAGUGGGAACUGCAGAUGCCGGAGACUCCGAGAUAACAAGGUGUAGAGCUGGAUGAAAUUAACAGGCGAAGCAGGAAAGCCUACGUUUUGUGCCUGGCCCCUUCGCUGAGACUAAGGUUUGUGCAAUUGAGAUACCGGCAAUCGUUGCCAAAGCCCUGUUGCCUGUGGAAAAUGUGGUGUUCAACUUUCGUGUGCUGCUGCAGUUCAUAUGAUGAAGGUGAUCCCACAAUGCGGUCGUUUGAGAAGUUACAGAUCAUUCAUCUAGCGAUACUGAAGAGCUGAUGGUGUAUGUCCAAAUCAACAAACUGAUAUUAUAAGUGGACUUUCAGGUGGGAAACUCAAUAAUUGUAACACCAAACUCUGACAGAAUUACUCAAUUCAUCAACAUCUGGAUAUUCGCAUUGUGUAUUUCCACAAUUUUACUUCUGCACUGUUCUUAACAUUAUGAUCCCUCUGAAAGACUGAGUUACAAUGCCUGCCCUUCCUCCCUGGCUCUCCCACCUCUCUUUCAGCAGUUUUGUGCAAAUACUGACUGGAUCCCUUACCUGGAGGAUAUUUAUUUGAAUUUGUUCUAACGAUGAUCCAGCAUAUUUCCCAAGCAUCGCUCCAUAAAUGUCCAGAGGAUUUCUCGAUUUCACAAUCUGUGGUUGUUCUUCUGGCUCUUCACUCACUGCACUUGCUUUCUGUUUGAAAGCUUAGUCUGCAAUUGGAGAAUUCAAACAGGUCCACAUCCAGGUCUGACAGUCACUUUGUUUAUCACAAACCAGUGACCUCAGGAUUUUGAACAUUGAAGGAAAAAGCAGCAUUCACACUGGGGAGAAAUGCACAUGGUGUGUAAAGAGUCUGUGAAGAUUGAUCUGAAAUGUCCGAACACCAGCGCAGUAACACUGGGGAGACACUGUGGAAAUGUGCAGUUGCAGGAUCGAAUUUUUUAAUCCAUCCCAGCUAGAAACUGACCACCAGAGUCACACUGGAGAGAGACCAUUCACCUGCUCUGAUUGUGUAACGGGAUUCACUCAGUCCUCUAACCUGCUUAAACACCAGUGAGUUCGCACUGUAGAGAAACCAUUUACAUGCUUGAAAUGUGGGAAAGCAUUCACUCGCACAUAUCAACCGCUGAUGCACGAGUGAAUUCACACUGGAGAGAGACCGUUGGCCUGUUCUGCGUGAGGGAAAGGCUUUGCUGACUCGCAUUGACCGCUGAUCCACCAGCGACUUCACUUUGGGGAGUGACCAUUCAUCUGCUCCCAGUGUGGGAAGGGAUUCACUUGCUCACCUAACAUACAGAGCGUUCACACUGGGGAGGAACCAUUCACCUGCUCUAAAUGUGAGAAAGCAUUCACUUGGUCAUCCUACCUGCUUGUGUUCCAGCAGGUUCACACUGGGAGAACCCAUUCAUGAGCUCUGAGUGGGGGAAAGCAUUCACUCAGUUAUCCAAACUGUUAACACACCAGUGAGUUCACAAAGAAGCACAGUUGAAGGAUUUUGCUGUCACUCUCACUAUCAAGUGAACCAUGGUUUUGGGCUGUUUGUACUGAUGUUACAGAUCCCUGCUCAAUUAAAGGUACAGGUAUUGUGGAUAAAAUGUUAAUAUCAGUUGUGUAUCUGUCAGGUAGAGUUUGCAAAUAGUCAUGUUAUCACGACACAU